CUUUCCUGGACCUUCGUCUCUCCCUUUCGCUGUCUUCGUUCCGUGUGCAAAGCAGCCUCGCAUGAGAGCGCGGCACAAUGGAGGUAUUAAAUGGAUGUAAGGUAGUGGGUAAAAGCGCGGCGCUCUGACCAGAAACGUAUAUACGCGAGUAUCUCGGGCAACGCGUCACGAAAAUGAAAGUGCUUCGCAAAUAUUGGUUGCCGUCGACCUUACUGCGGUCUCGAGAGGAGAGAGAGAGCCGGGAGAAAGGAAGCGGGAGAAAAAAACCAAAUCCUGUGUACAUAUUAGGCGCGCCGGUCUCGAGCACUUUUCAGAGAGCUUUCUUCCCUUCGGCGGACCCGUCUGACCGCUCGAGCGAGAGACCGCAGAGAUGCAUUUCGGGAGACAGGUGCGACGCUUCGGAAAACGGCAUGCUGCACCGCGGAAAAGCAAAAGCCGGCUGCGGCAAUCGGUUACCUGACUCGGCUCAGAACAUUAACAAACAGACAUUUCGAUACAUCUAUCAAGCUGUCAUAAUAAGUUUGUGUGAUCCAAGAAGAGUCUCCUGAUGAAGAAAAAGUCAUAAUUUCACAAUCACCAUUUCGACUUUGUAUAGGCAUUAUGGAUGAAAUCCUUCGCAUCUCUUAUGAGCAGCAGCGGUACCUGUCGGCAUCCCCUUUCGAGAGGACCCACUAAUCGCCGAACCGUUUGAAGAUGGAUGUAUGACCAUUCAAGAGGAGCAGGUGUAGGAUUUUCGAGCAGCGUUUUGAAUUUGCUGAAAACUCGCGGACAGUGGCGUAGGUUGAAUUUGAACGGGAAUGAUUGCGCGUGAAGGGGAUGAUCAUGCUCGAGAAGCCUCGCGGCUAGAUGAUUAAAUGAAAUUUGCUAGCUCAAUCAUAUAUGCUAGCUGAAUCGCGUAUGUAUUAUGCAAAAGCGAUGAACAUGGAGAAUGCUUUUGACAUAAUUCGAGAUACCUCGCACACGAUAAGAAUUUCUCUCGUAACGUCUCGUACAAACGGUUUUGUUACAAGCUGACUGUAGAUAGCUCGAUAGAUUAUUGUUAUCCCACUCGUCGGUAAGUCACUGAUCCUACGAAACGAUCUACUCGGAACGGAUUAUCGUAUGUUAAUAAGCCCCGGGAACCCGAAAGCCCGGCUACGCCUAAUUUGCGAGGUAAUCGCGAUCUUUACUCGCACAAUACGAAAUUCUCAACGGUCAUCGAUCAUCAUUAUUUAUCGCCGUUCGCCAAAUUCGUAUCGCGCGCACGUACGCACGUCGACGCUCCGCUACGUGCGCGAGUGCGUGUGAGUCGACGACGAGCGCGUACACGCACUCUCACGCCACGCCGGGCCCAAUCCAUUUCGCUUCAUUACGGCGCUCCUCUCGCGAGAAGCCGAGGCUCUUCUUCCUGACCCUGCCUUGAACUAUGAUUGGACACGUUACAUCGAUCCUCGUCGAUCCUCGUCGAUCCUGAUCCGAGGCGUCUCGCGCUCGCGCGCGUAAACGCUUCGCCGGGCCUCUUCUCACCUUCGUCAAUCGCGCCUGACGAUAUCGCCUCGUAUCGGCCCGUGGCCUUUCCGCGGGCAAAAUAGAAGAAUACAAGAGAAGACGGGAUGAGACGCGCACGUCGGUCGGUUGGUCGGUUGGUCGGUAGAUCGGUCGGUCGAUCGAUCGAUCGACCCAACCGCUAUUCGACCAAGCAGUUGUACGAGCACGCCUCGGCACCUGCGGACUUGCGCGCGAGAGAAACGCUUCGCAGUGCGCUACCCGCGAUGCCCGAAGGAUCCAUUAGCCAUUAGCCGACGUUCAAGCCCGUCAACUUGUCAACGGCGGAACAAUGCGACCGCGAGAAUAGAAAUCGAUUUUUACGCUUCCCUUCUAUGAUGCCAUCGUUUCUCGACUUGCCUCGCGCUAUUCUCCUCGCGGCCGUGCGUCAUCGGGUCGCGAACUCCGCCACGCACGCAUGUUACGUAAGCGAUCUCCUAUCAAUACCCGCGAUUCCGAUGUCGAUUAACGUUAGCUCCCCGCGAAUUCUCAACCAAGGUUUACGUAAGAAGAGAUUUCCUUUCCUUUCCUGUCGCGUGAAAUAAAUACGAUCAUUUACGUAAGAAACGAAGCGCGAGGGGAUACUGACAGGUAAUAAUCCACGAUACCAAUCGUGCGACAUUAAUAAACUCGAAUGAACGCAAAGUGGGGACGAAAUAUAUUUUUUCUACGAGCUACGCUGCUGAUUUCGUUCCGGCAUUGGGAACUGGUGAUGUGCAGGCCCCGAGACAAUGGUUCCUGCCGUCAUCCUUCAUUGUUUCGGCUGCGUCUGGAAUCUUAAGAGACUACCCCAUUAUUAUACAUCCAUCCAGAGGGACCCUACUCGCUUUUCCCCCCUGUAAUCCCCGAAAUAAAGCGGCGGAGGCACCAGACACCUGCGUGAAAUCGGAUGAUAUUUAGAGACGCACUUGCGCCAAGCAACUGAUCAACUUUUAUGAGCUUUCCAAGUCCCGAGCAUUAUUUAUUUUACAGAACAUAAAAUAUUAUGUAAUAUAUACGAUGUGUUUUAACGCAAGUAUGCACUUCGUAUCCAAUAUCCAAUAUACAUAUAUAUAAAUGUCAACAAACUGUAAUUAACUUCUCCAUUACAAUAUUGGAUAUAAUUAACAUAUUUUUCUUCUUAAUUUGUAAUGAGCAAUUUAUAAUAUUAUUAUUAUUUAGCAUUACCGAGUUCUGGAUAAUACAUGAAAAGAGAAAAAGAAAGAGGAAACUUCUGGCGUCAUGGAAGAUUACAGUAAUUCUCGCAACUAUUAAGUCGGCCGUUUCAUUUUAUUUAUCCAUUAAUGGCUGCUGAUCUUUCUUACGAAACACGCACGUCGAACACGUGUAGCUGGAAUCGCUCGUCCCAGCUGUGACUCGCGCGACUCGGUGUCACGAAUCGGGCCUCGUCGCUUCCUGUAUCUCUCGAGUGAGCCUAAACGCCGUGCGGACGAGCGUACGUGCUUACGUUACAUCAUUACGCAUUUGAAUGCUCGAGAAAUUAUGCCGCGAGCACAUGGGCACCAAGCAUCCAGCGUAGUCACGGCGUUCAUGGCACCGACAUGGCGCGCAUUCGUGCGCGCAAACCAGCCUCGAUCUCCGGGAUCUCUUUCACGGCUCUUGGAUCUGUCGGACACCGGCGCUUUCCAAGAGAAUCAAAGAUUCCUGGAUGCAUCCUGGUGCGGGAUAUGUGUGCGGGCGGCAUAAUUCCGAGUGCAACCGCGCCGAUGGGCAGACAGCAUAAAAUGACUUCGACUACCAUAGAUGUAUCCCGCAUUACACAGGAACGAAGGUGCGCGUACCAUCCCUAUUCCACUUUCCUCUCCCUUUCUCUUUUCAUUCGUUUCUGUCCACGCACGAACAUCACGCAUGUCCUAAACCACACGUGCAAGCGCGCACACACGCACAUAACACGCGCGGAUAACCGAUACGCGUUUGUAGUUGUAUCCAUCGUCGAGCCAAGAAAAAGAGAGACAGAAAGGAAUACAAUGGCAAAUGGUAUUCUAUUAUUCCAGAUGGGUCCCGCGAGCAUCUCUCCUUCGUUGCUCACGGGGUCCGAGGAAUGCAGGCAUGAAAUCAUUCUCCAAUAUCUCACCGUAGGACUACCCUCUCCCUUCGUCUCCCCGCGUCUGAUGGUCUCUCCGACCAUCGCCCGUAACCCAAAAGUAAACCCUAACCACCCGGCAUCCCCCGCGUCGCGCGAUACGCCCCUGUCUGCGCACCGGUCAUUCAUCACUCUCGUCUAAUAAUCCUCUUUGCUCGCCGAGGUAACAUUAAUUGUGGCACGAGAUGCAUCGCGCUGAAUGCGACGCGGACGCGCCCCGAACGAUGAUGAUCGAUAUCCCCCUCUUGCUUUUUUUCCCGCGGUUUUCACUUUAGCCCUGAUUAUGGUGGCUCGAUCGUUAUGUUGCUCUUGUCGUCCGUAGCGAUCACGUUUAACACUGAAUGGCGCUCGUCCGAGCCCUUGAACGGUCACUUUUACACUCGACAGUUUUAACGCCGCAUGGAGGAGUUUGAUAAAUUACGCCGAGUCGAGGCAGCGAGUAAACUUUCAGCCUAUCAACUUACGAUAAACAAUGAAUGAUGGUUACCGCGUUCUUUCGAAUUUACCAAAAUUUUUAAUGUACAAGUGCUGAUUAACUUGACCUACUUGUAAUUUGUUAAACUGCAGCAUUGCUUCACGGAUAUAUCAGGUAGUUCCACUUCGCGCGAAAUUAUCGGUACUCGACAAAUUAAGAUCGGUUUUGUUCCGUAAAGAAAUAAAUUUGGAACACAAGUGAAUAUUUGGCCGUCGGUGUCGGUAUUUUUGCCGUAUUUGAGAAUUAUGAUAGUCUGCCCCCGUGUAGAAAAAUUAAUAGGGUCUUAAAAAGUCCCGAUUAAUUUCCUCAAUAUUAAUAUGGCCCUAAAAUGGCAUGUAACAAAUAUUUUUUCGGGACCUUAUAAGGAAAUAAUAAAAAAUAUUGUUUUAAUCAUCUGUCCUAUCGGGCCACGAUGUGGCAAUGAUAGGGCAUCCCUUUUUAGGACAUCCCUAGUUAUUCCUUAUAGGGACCUUUACUUUCUUAUCAGGCCCUAACAAUUAUCUGCACGGGCCUUUUUAGGAAACGUCGCGCGGUUGGUGGUUUAUAUUUGAGAUCUUUCCUCGCUCUUUCCAUUUCUUUUGUUCGUGUCGUAAUUCGGAGGGAAUAAGAAAUUGCGGGCAAUGAUUCGGAACAGAAUCUAUUCCAAUUUCUGCGCCAACGUUUUUCCGCGAUCCAUCGUUUGUUUCCUCCGUUAUUCCCAACCCGAGAAACGUUCGCUCUCUGUAACGAAUGUUCAUCGCGCGUGGGGUGUGGAUUCGAUUUCCAUUAUUUCCGCGCCCUUCUGAAGUUUCCCAAAAAGAAACAGCGGAAAUUAAAAUGUUGCCGAUAUUACCAGGAAUUCCAACUAUCCCUUCAUUAUCACCCGUAUUUAUUCUAUGACGGGCAGGAAAUACGGGAACGCACACGGCAGAACAAUUUCUGCCUCUCGAGCCGUCCCUUCAAAAUAAAUUAUUAUUGCAAGGGGGAGUCUCGUUACGCAAACUCGCGUGAAAGAAACGUCAUCUCCGCGUUACGGAAAAUUGACAAUUUUUGUACGCGCACGUGAUUCAAUUUUCUUUUUACGAAUUCCAAUCAACACAAUCUAUCCUGAUCUAUUUUCGCAUACAUCCUUCGCGCGCGUGUAUUGCAUGACGUAAUAUGAUCCCGCCGAUAUCCAUACUCGCGUGAAUUCGACGCUCCAUUUGUUUACGGCCGAGCAUUCGAUUCUAUCCCGCCGUGGUACGUGAACGCGGAAUAUUAUUCCGUGCGCGUGACAGGUGCACAUCACACACGCGUUACGGAAGAGGCUCUCUUUCGCACGAGUCCCGAGCAGGAGCAGGCUCUACGCGCAAUUCCACCUGCUGCAAACGGCGGUUACGAGUCGCGUCUCGAGAAGCGCAAAUUUGCAGAUCGAUAUCCGAGAUGUUUAUCUUGACGUUUCCUACUAUCGAAAGAACUACUAAUAUUACUUUAAUAUUACUUUAGAGAGUAUUUUUCUUAGCUCCUUUGUAUUAUAGUAAAAUAAUUUAUAAUUCUUUAAUUAUUUUUCGUGUACAUUUCGACGGGGCGGCGGGAAUGUAUUAGUAGCUCUGAUGUAUUUCCUCGUUAUCCAUCAUAGAAUUUGUUCCGUCUUGUUUCGGAAUAUACGUUUCGGUGCUCACAAGGACCCUUUAUAAUAUCACUGCACGCCUCGUUUAAUACCAGGCACACGCGUUGCGUGAAGACAACGACUUCACGACGAUAAAUUAAACCAUAUGCGGCUUGGAAAUUGUAAUAGUGCAAGCCGCUUGUGACUAGGGCGCGCGACCCCUAUGGAAUGGCCCUCGUAUUUUGGAUGUUUGUUCGUGCGACGAGGAGGAGCAUACGGGCUGCUCGCCUAUUGUACUUCCGCGGACUUCAAUAUGAUUUAUUUCGACUACGUGUUCAAGUCGCACAUAAAUUUUUCUUUGACUAGUAACGAUUGCACUGACGUUAGCACGCGAUAGAAGCUGCCAAAAUCAAUUUAGACGUUAAAUAUUCAAAGCACAAUUUCACAUCAGCAAAUAGAAUGUUUUAUUCUUUUCUUGAAAAAAUACAUUUCACAUAUUCAUGCAAGAUAUUUUAACGUUUUAAAAAUUUUUCUUGGAAAGAAGAGAUCUGACGAAAAUGUAAAUAUUCGCCACAUCGCGUCUCUCCUAACAGUGUACUUUGCUCGGAAAUUUACUCUUUUAGCAAGAGUAUUAAACGAGGUCAGAGUUGAAAUAUACAUAUCCUUUUGAAAUUCGCUUUUCUGGCUAAUAAUAUUUUAACGAUGAAAGGCUUGAUAAAGAAGAAUUAACGUUCCUAUACACACAAGACAGCUCGUCGCGUAUCCACAUAGAAAAAAGGAUGGACUAUUUCGUAUUUUCAUUCUCACGUAAAAUCGUCAGAGAAUUUCAGAGAAUUAGCGCAUACGAUCGAUUCGUAGAAAGAUUCGAUUUCACAGAUAGUAAUCGGGAAUUCACACGCUCGCCCCGUGCUCAUGAUUUCAUAAAGAGCAACGAGUACGUACGGAGUUUAAUGUCACCAUCACCAUGACAUUCUUUUCACUCUUUACACGUACGUUCGCGACACGACUGCACGAUUGUACACACACUACUACGCGACUUAGCCUUAAUUAGCUUAGUCCGGCUUAAUGCACCGAGAUGCCCGAGCCUUUGUCUCUCUCUCAUGUACGUAUCUCUCUCGGUACACGCAUGCAUGGCCCGUACACGCGCGCAUGUACGUGUGCACCUAUCUACUGGCGCCGUAGUGGUGGCGUAAUGCUGCAUCGGCGGGCGUGUUGAACGUCGAACACUUUCGCCGACGUGGCGGCGUAUAUCGGUUAAUGCUUCGAUUUAUUGGCCGGCACUUAGCCCCCGCUGCUCCAGAUUCCUCGGUCAGAUCGGAUCGGAUCGGAUCGACGCGCGAUAUGAAUUAGUCUCGCGCGUUGAUCGCGAGCGCGAGUGCGCUCGAUCGCGGAUUAUUUCGCUCUUUAAUCGAGCCGCCGAUCGGCAAAGCUGUCUCGGUGUGCCCUCGGUCUCGCUGCGAAUCAACUCGUCGGGAAAUCCUUCGCCGUCCUCGAUAAAUACAUCGGUAUUUCGAUCGGUGACGUCGGAUUGCGCAUUAAGCCGAUGAGCUGUUCGCGAUAAAUCAUUUUCGCGAAGCAAUUAGCGGCGGAUCUGUUAUUACGUACUCGAGCGUUCCUAUGCCAGAUGCUCGAGGCAUAUGUGUCCCGACACGAGUUCGUCCCGGAGGAACGCAAUUUUCGAGCAACGAUUUCGACGUCGUAAAAGACACCGUACGUCACCUAAAAGCGCGUAGAACACCAACUGUCGGGCUUCCGCUUUUACCGGGCUAACACGUUUAUACGAGCGGAAUAGAGUCCUCUAUUUCUGACGCGACGUUUAAUCGUAACUGCAAUAAACCUGCCUAGACUCGUCGAAGAUGUUUUGUCAACGUUCCCUGACUUGCACUUUAUAAUUUAAUCAAUUUAGCGGUUUAUUUCAUAAGCGUAAAAAAAAGAAUUUCAAGGACGCGUCUAACAAAUCUAGAAAGUGGCGCUUUCGCGCAAUUAAGAUCCUUCUCGAUUCGAGACACGAUACACGAGGUAUACCGGUUAAAUCCGCGUGACCGAUGUGGUCUCGUUCUCCACGGGAACUUUAACGAGCGGUAAAAUUUCCUCAAGACCGCGUUAUAACUUGUAUACACGCUCGCGUUCUGUAAUCAUUACGGGCUAUCUCUGAGCAUUGCGCAAUUGCAAUCGCGUUGUGUAUUUGGUACAUGUAAAAUAGACGCAUUAAAACUGUUACACGCGAAUAUGGCUCCCCAUGAAUUUUACAUUGCUGACAGAAUGUUGAAAUUGGAGUCCAUUGUCUCGUGAAUUCUUUCGUGACGUUUACGACACGACGCCAAGCGGCGAGGGAGGAACCGGUUGCUUCCGCGACUGAUUUUUCGAGCUACGUUUACGAUGAAAUAAUGCGAGUCAUUUCGCGGACCACAGGCAAUCGCGUUCGAGUGACGUUAAAGGCGCUCCGAAACGAGACCCGGAUGAGAGACCCUCGCGUCUCGACCUUGCUCGUUACGUUGUGGUGAGCUGCCUUUUGUACAGUCUAAGUGCUCAGAGCAAACCUUACGUAAUUUUAUAUAACAAGGUUGUCCAUUCAAGUGGGUGAAAUUGUAACAAUUAACCCGAGCGUUGGUAAAGUUGAGAUUUCUCUAAUAAUAUGUAUAACAUUCAAUAUGUGCUCGCAUAACACAAGUUAAAUUGAUGGCUCAGUAUCUCUAAUGCCACUUUAAUAUCAUUAUUAUUUCAUUUAAUCCUGACAAUAUUCUGUUGAAUAUCAAUGCACAUACGAUUUUAGAUGUUAUACAUUCGUAAUAUUAGAAAUAAUUUGAAAUACAUAUAAUGAGAAAAAGAGAGACUAAUAUGUGCGAGAUGAUACAUUCACAGUUUUAAAAUAUCAGUUUCAAAAUAUCAAAUAAUGUUUAAAAACGUGGAACCAAGAUAUACUUCAUGUGCGACACAAUUGUCGGUGGAAGAAAAAGGAGGUACGCGGUCACGGACAUGUGCAUUCCUGCAGGCAUGCGAAUAAUUCCGAAGGACACAGGCACCGUCGAACAUCAGACGACGGGGGCCAGGUGAUUUGUUUUCGGUGUAAAAUUCGCGAUUCUCCUCGCGUCCACGCCAGUACGUAGCCGCGUGUACCACAGGCGGACGUGUCCGUGGACUGAAAAGGAUGUACGCCGCGAAACAAUGUGACCUGUGUCCUCGGGGCGGCCAUUUCUUCAGAAUUGGCCAUUUUCAAUGUCGCAUUGGCUCCGGCAGUUCGGUUAAUUUCGAAUUCCGCUAUCCGGGCACGUAACUGUCCGUACGCAAAAAAAGCGUUUUUGAUCACCAGGAGGCAGUCUUUUGAGAUUACACAUCACAUAUGUGGGACUUCAUUAAGUUCACGAGCGUAAUUGUCUUUUUUUUUCCUUGUGAUAUCUCAACUUUACCUUCAUUUAUAAGUAGCAAAAUUAGCUUCGUACGAUGUUAGGUAUGAUUUUAUGUAACGGCGCUUUUGUUUGUAGAAUUGUAGAAUACUUUACACGAUCGCAUUGCGUUCUCGCUAUUUAAUAAACUGAGUUGAAAUUGAUUCGCGAAACCGUCGAAUUAACAUCACGAUAUAAUAGCUGCCGCGAAUUAGGCGAGACAUGUCGCGUCCAAUUAACGUUUUCGUUAAGAGUUAAUGAGCGCUUUCCGCGUCACAACGCGGCAGCAUCGCGGAUUUGUCACCCCCGCCGCGGGAGAGACAAAGCACCGCGGAUUUGUCGUGCGCGGUCGCGCGCUAACCAGAUUCGUUAUUACGUGCACACAUCCUUGUAUAACAAGGGGAUUGCGUAAUCGGGUCAACUCUCCUUGGUCCGCAGGCACGACGUCCAUCCAGUUAACGUUUGAAGAAGAGAGAGGGGACGCGCGGGGAGUCCGGGCAGCAGGGCGGUGCGCUUAAAUGUGGCGCUUGAUUGUCGCUCUUAAUGCCAAUAGGAAAUGACUCACUCCUUAACGCCGCAAUGAUAUCACUCUCCGCCCCGCGGUGUCGUGCGACCGAGAGCGAGCGAGCGCGCGCUGCAAGAUCAUGAUCCAAUCUAUACAGCAGAGGAUAGGAUUGCGAUCUGGGCCCCGCUCGUUAGAUUUACGAUGCUCUGGAGACACUGGAGGCAAGCAGAAGUACAGCGAGAAAGCGUGUCCCCGAAGAUCGCGGCUAUGUCGCAACGAGAUGAUGAGGUAAGAGAGCGAUUCCGGAGCAAAAGCGGUCGUAAAGGAACGCGGGAGGUGGCGCAGGAGAAGGAGAAGAAGGAAAGAACGAAAAGGAAGAAGUGGAUCUACAUAAGAGAUCAUGACUCGGGCGCACUAGUCGAGUUUCGCCGCGCGGAGAGCCAGAGAGGAGAAAGUUACCAGGAACUGCCUGAAUCUGCCCGAUUGGCAGCCUCCUUGCGCUCCUUUUCCACGGACUGGAGGUAUUGUAGUCACGAACGUGCAACCAUAGCAGCAACAAUAACCUCCCCCUCCCGGCGCACAACGAGCCUUUGUUCGCUCCUUCUCGCGGUGUGCGGGUGGUUUGUUCUACUCGCUCGAUACUUGCUCGGUACUUGCUGUAUUUUCAAUCCUCAUGAUUAUUUUAUUUUUGCUCUUCUUGGCGCGUACCGCGCGCGAAAUCCUUUUCUAGAAACUUCAUAAAAAUAUCAGUAUAAGCAUAUACAUCCGAGUAUGUACAUUUUAUCGAGCGCCUCCGAAUGACUCACGGAUAAUAAAAUAUCAAGAUAAAAUCAAUUUUUAAUAAUGUAGUGGAUAUCUUUUUCCGCGCCAGUUACCAUGAAAAUAUUUUAUUACACAUCAUUAAAAAUUCUCCAUGAAAAAAUUCUUUAUUUAAUUACAAUAUUAUAUAUUAUAUUAUUUUUAAUAUCAUAGAGAAAUUCAUUUUUCUUUGUUUGGCGAAAUAUAAAGACCCUCCGAUCUGUAUAUCGAAAUAUAACGUAGCGAAAUUUGAUUUUGAUUCAGUGUGAGUGUACAUUUACGUCAUCUUGUCAAUGCGAUUGCAUUAUUUUGCUCCGCUCUGACCUCUGACACAGUUUGAACUGCACUACGGCUUUAGUUCCUUGCCAUUAGUCGCAAUUAGUCCUCGCGAUGAAUUUUCUAUGAGCAAAUAAUCAGGCGCGCUUGUACACGUAACUCAGAGACGUCAUCGGGACAAUUAUAGUUUCAUGAUCGAGAAUCGACGAUGAUCGUCGAGUCCAAUGACCCGUUGAAACGACGAGAAGACUCGAUUACUGUUGAGAGUUUUCGAAACCGGCGGUCUAUUCUUAUGCUGAUUGUUGCUACCGAUUCCGAAGCGCCUAAUCGGCGGAUCGAACCGCGAUUCGUGGUGCUUUGGUUAAUGAACUACAGUCAUGUUACAAUCAAAUGCAAAUUGUCUUAAUUAAUGGCGAUCCACGAUUCAACCGUGACUCGUAACUGCGUUCGAGCAGCCGAUUGCUCUAUGAUUCGUUGGAUCAGAUACCAUUGCGAAAUUUUUCUAAUCGUUUCUGUUCCUGGGUUAAGAAUUAAAUAUCGAAUGCCAUGACGCACACAUGCGAAAAACAUGUCUCAUGCACACACUAAUCUCAAUCUUAAAACAAACUUGCUUUUGACCGAGUCGAGGAAAGUUAUCGUGAUCCAAUUUCCGCGGCCCGGAUUCCACACUGGAGAUUCGUUUCUUACGACUGUUCGCGUGUAACAAUAUCGAUAAUUAAUCGGUAAUGUCAUUUCGCCGAUUGUAAGUAACGCCUACUGUGCGGGAAAUGCGGGCCCGAUCGGACAGUUAUUAAUAAUUACACUUUCGAGACCAGUCAGAUCGGCAGAUACGUCCGGACGUACGGCUGAUUUGUCAAUACGCGGCGAGUAAUGCGUUUCGCCGCCGCAUGACCGAAGCCUGAUUACGAUAUUUGUUCGCCUGCGAACCAAUAAUGCCCACGCGAUAACGAGACGUUGAUUAUAUUGUUGUAUACGUCGGGCCUGAUUGACGUUACGUUAUCAUUGUAUGCAUCAAUACAGCAAAUUUAAUUUAACACAGACAUUACGUAUGUAACGUAAUAUUGUCUAGAUAUAAGGUGUCUUCUCGAUCUCAAUUUUGAGACCAAUCUUUUUUCUAAUUAAAAUCGAGCCACAAUUUAAGACGUAGCGUUCGCAAAUGGAAGAUUACAUUUUUCCGCACUCUAAGAUAUAAAAUUUUAUCUCGUUUUCCUUGGCGAAUAUCCUGCAUUAACAGUAGCGUAACUACGCGCGUGCAAGUGGUUAAUGUAACAAUAAAAAAUCGCGGGACAACUUGUUAAGGGAUACGCCUACGUUGUAGAAAACACUUGCGCCAAGAAUUCCACUUUCGCUGUCAGGCAGAUCAGGGGAUACACCGAGAUGUUAAUACAAUUGGUUUAUGCGUGUUGGUUAAAGCCGGGUGUGUAGUAGCCGAGAAAGCCAUAACUUCGAUAUUUAUAUUACGCUAGUGCGACCUAUAAUACUGCGACCAGAUAACCGGACUACACUCGAAACCAGUAAAGACGACGAGGACAGCCGAGAGCAUUUAAUAUAUCGUACGCUACUGUUGGAUUACUCCUUUUGGUACGACGCCGUAAAUUCUCGAAACUCUUUGGUAGUAAAGUAGAAAGCAGAACUAUCGCGUUUCCUCUCAACUAUAAAUUCUACACGACGAAUUAAAAAGGAUUCCUUCAACAUUGGGGCGUCAGAAAUUAUGAGCAUUUCGAGAUUAAAGAGCGCAACGAGUAAAAAGAUAAGAGCAGAUAAAACGAUCUUGCAUAAUGUAAACCGGGGACUUUCGCGCGCGAAUCGCUCCCCAAUUCGAGGUUUAGACAUCAAUAUAUUUAAUGCUGAAAAUUGAUUGAAACUCAAUGUUCGUAAUUGCUGUCUGUUAUUAAUUGUGCACGCGACAGUUAUUAAUUAUUAGGAUGUACCGAUGUGCACGCAUCGUUUAUCAGCACAUGACGAUUAAUUUGCCAUGCUGCAUGUAUACAUUUGAUACACGGUUUCUGCCAAUGUAAACUCGUAAUACUCUUAAAUGAUUGCCAGAUGCGCCGUUCGUCGUACUGGUAUUCAAUGGAACUUUAAGUACAUGCCUACGUAACACGUGAUGCGUUGCCGCAGGAUUAUCACAUCCGGCGACAUGUGAGCACCAACAUGGUUCCGAAAAGAAUGCGUUAAUCUGUUCAUGAUCAAAUAUUUACAUUAUCCGUAACUAUGCCACGAGCAGUAACUGAAGCAACAAAAAUUAAACGCAGAAUAACAUAAACGCACAAUCACAUAAAUUAAUUUGCUUAACCGUCGGAGUUACGUCAGAUGGAGAGUAUUCCAUUUAGCAAGCAAGUAUAGCAGAACAAACAUAAAUGGUUCGAAAGUAUUUCCAAGCUUUUCCAUGACAGUACGUUACGAGGCAGAUGGGAUAUCCUGCCAUGUGCUGGAUCUACGUCGACUCGUUCAGCGAUCACGAUUUUGAUCGUUUCAUCCAUUGUUACGUGGCCAGGUAUUAACCGGCGGCGUGCGUGCGUGUACAAGAUUAGUCAUUGAUUUCAAACAGUUAAACCUAUGGUUACGGGCGCCCGCACGACACGAAGAUUCCACGGCAUUGGGUUUAACUGUGAUUCGCGUAAUGACAUUUGAACGAGCUAGCGCGCGCUCUCGGCUAAAUCGCAUCUUCCGUUCCAGCGAAAGCUUACUCCGGCACUUACUUUUCUUCCACCUGAAAUGAUAUAAUAAUACGGCUGUCUGUCAAUACGCGAAACGUGUCCGUCGUGAAUCGCCGCUCCUUUCCCGCGUGCGACGUAACCCGCGCCGAACGAGCGAGCGGGUGGCACACCUAUUCGACGUAAGGACUCGCCUUCGCAUGGACACCUAGUCGAUAAUUACAUGUCUGCUUUUAAUAAUUCAGAUCGAUUUGACCUCGAACGUUCUCUCGUUCGUGGUAUUUCCAUUCUUUCGCACAUGGACGUUUUUCUGCUUCAAAUUAUCCCCUAUUCUUUCCUGGAGCUAUUCUGCAUCUUGUGUAUUCUUUUCUCUUGGAAUUUUUAAAAACCCGCUCAAGAUUUGGAGAGAGAUAAUUAUACUCGUAGUGUUCGCAUCGCAUCAUUUUUCAGCGAAUGUUGCACACGCACGGCGCACGCAUGAAGUGAACGCGGCUUGUUAGAGUCUUGAGAGACAUUAACCGUUUGCAGAUCAAGCGUUGCGAUCUUUAUUCAAUGCUUUAAUUAGAUUGAGUUAUUUCGCAACACGCAAUCGUAGCGUCGGUGGCGUCUCUGGUCCGAGACGAUCGCGCGAUACGCGCGAGUCGACGUCGGGAGAUCGCCGAGCCAGAAAAGAACGACUUUGUGCCACUGAUAUAAGAGAUAGGAGCAGCUUUGUCUCUGAUCGCUCGGGGUAACCCACGUGUCCCUUCCCACGUAGUCCACGAUCGUGGAUAAUUGUCAGUUUAACUAUCGCCUGCGCGCUCGGCUGUAUACACACGUUUCCGACGUCGGAAUAUCUUUUCACGCUCGUGCGUCGUGCGGCACGCAUGCAAUUAGAAAUUUCCUUUCACUGGCUCGUUGACACUAAUCACGCGGGCGUCUCCGUCCUUCCCUCCGUGUUUUUCUGCAUCCUUCUCUCUUUUUAUACCUUUCGUUCCUUCUGUCUCGCUCCCACACACCCGCGCUCGAUGGACACCGGUUGUCCGUUCCGUGCUUGUGUGUACGCGCGUACGUACGCAUGACAGAAACCGAUUGCUUUAACGAUCGCCGCUAAAUUCCAAUUACGCAACGUUCAAUUAUAUUUUCCCGUCGUACACAGCGCGCAAUUGGUUGACAAAUUUUCGCGCUCGGAUCCGGUGCAACUAAUUGGCGGCUGCGAUAAUUUGCAUAGUACCCGUUAAUUCUCGUUUAUUCUUUGCGAACAAGUUCUUAAACUCGAUUUCGCCCAUUUUCACUUGAGGCGAACGUUCACGCGGUGUAACCGCGUGAAAACUCUAUACAUAAAUUUAAAAUAUGUAUAUAUAUAAAUGUAAUGCUCGGCGAAACAAGGGCGAUCACGUAUGUAUGUAUAAAAAAAAGCGAUAAGGUUGACAAGGAUGACAAGGUGCCAUGAUACAUCCGCGGCGAUAUUUCGUUGCAUUACUAGCAGAAGCAAAGUUACAAAGUUGCAAAUUUGCCACAUUUUGCAAAACUGCACCCAUGUUCUCGCAUUCUUGUUUCUCUCUCUCUCUCUCUCUUUCUUUUAUAAUAACUCUAUAUUACUGAGAGUUCAGAGAGAAUUAUUCAUCUUUAAUAAUAGCCCGAAGCAUUCUCGGAAAAAAAACUUGUUUCUCCUGGUAGUAAUUCGCGCAGUCGAGUUGCAAUGUAUUCUCAAACCAAGUAAAAAGUUCAGAAGAUUGUAUGUUGGGCGUAUAUACAUGUGUAUGCUCCAAAGUCCACAGAGCAAUUCCUCUUCUUUGUUUGCUCUAAAUUAUUUUCUAAAAUUUUUUAAUAACAUGCUCCAGUACUCCCUUACAUAUAAUAAUCUUUUCAUUAUGUGUAUCAUCUAAAAGAUAGCAGCGAUAUCACAAGAGGGUGAACAUGGAAUCCUAUACGCCGCUACUGUAUAAUUACCACCAGGAAUUAAACGGAACUCCGCCAAGAGGAAAACAUACAAAGCAGUUUUCCGCGCAACGUAUAAUUUGCGCGCAACCACACGAGCAUAAUUACAUAUUUCUUUCAUCGAACGACAGUGCUCUUGCAAAUCAUUCGCGGCUAUUAAUGCCAAGUCCUUCUCUCAUUCCAUGCCCACCACGGGAAUAAAGUGGGAAUACCCAGUGGCACCAGUUUCGCGAAUACCGUUAAGCGGUCAUUUCCACUGCUCCGAGCAUCCGAGUGGCAGCCACCGUGUUAUUAGAAAUUCGGGAAGAAUUGCCUCACGUCUAAUAACCCCUCCCCGAGAAUGGUUCUCCAGAGGGAACCAGCUCGCUCGCUGCGAUUCGAAAACGCACAGCACGCCUCGUUGAUUCUCACGAACCGCUCGAGAGUGAUUCCGCUCUCUUUCUCUCUCUUUUUUCUUCGAGAGCUUUUUGCUACCCAUAAUAGACUUGCGAAUCCGUGGAUUUUCGUUCAUUCCCCGUGCCCCGUUCCGAGACAAACGAAACGGACGAAACGGGCGCGGGUAUAAAGGAAGAAACGAUCACAGUGGGGCACGCUCUAAUCACGGAGAAGGUCUAAUCGCGGUGGACCCGCGGGCAUGCAAUAGCAACGGGGCGAACGGAGGAAGGACGGAAGGAAGGAUAGAAGGGGGUGGUGGCCGCUGCAACGGCAGCAACAGGUAUCGGCCCGCGCAACGACCAUGGUAUCGAUGUCUCGGGGAUACCAGACCGGCCGACGAAAACGGCAUAGACGUAUAUUUUGACGACUGAAAAUCGCCGGCUACCCGUACAAGAGCCCCUGGGUGCCCCCCGGGUGUCGAUCGAGCGCCGCGCUCUUGCCGGCGCGACAUGCUCCGACCUCGACCGUUUCGUUUUCGUUUAAAGAUCGAGAUUAACGGCAACUCCAGAGAGGGGCUCUCUAUUAUUUCCUAGGAGAUUGACCGCGAGUAUAACCGCACGUUACGCUCGCCAGCUUCGUCGAUCUCGCUUUCGGUUUCGUUUCCGAUGCUCGCAGGUGCAUCCGAAAAUGUGGAUCGUUUCGACCGGCAUGCAUAGACUGACUGGCUUGUAUACGCGUCGGAUUCAAAUUACAAUCUAGAGCGACGCGGAACCGCGAAUUUUCUGUCGAUUCGCCAGAUGGUAAUGAGACGAAAUUAACGAGCCGUGAGUCUCGGCCAAGCGGCUUUUUUCGGUAGCUCUCUUUGGAGGAAUUCCGUGUCACUACCCCUCCUCCACCCUUAUGCGCUCUAACCGUCUCUCUAUUCGUCUACUAAUUUUACGGUGUGACUAUUAAGCAUGAUCCGCAGCACGCAUAUCUGACGAUCGACUCGCACACUCCGUUUUUUCUCGUCUGGGAUAUCGCGCGGUGCGCCAUAAUAACGCAAAUGGCAGGUUCCUCGUUUCAAACAGUCUCGACGUUAAAGUCAGGAUGCACAGGCGGCCACAUUCCAGAUGGAAAUCGCCGUUCCGGUGUUUCUCGUUUGUCAUGCUUCCUGUCUCGGUGCGCGAGUGCGUUAAGUGCACGUUAAGAACUUGGUAUUCUUCUGCAUUAUGUGGGAAUCCCCUCGAAUUAUGGACAAAGUAAAUUUUUAAUUCUCUCCCCCGUCACAACGCGAUACAUAUAAUUGUGGAUACACCAUCUUUGUUCGCGUCAAGUCGAGAUUAUAACGGAUUGUGAAGUGGUGAAUACAUAGGAGUAGAUGAAUGGAUGAUAGUUUAUGAAAUUAUAAUUUAAACCCACGAUGCAGCACUCUUGUGGCCUUUUGCUCCGAUCUACUAAAAUUAUUUUCAUGUACCGUAUAUAUUUAACGAGCAUUUAUGUAAUUCGAAACCGGAUUUCUCGCAUUUCUCAUUAAACGUGAGUUCUAAGCGCCGUUACAAUGUACAGUUAUUUAUCUUUAGCCAGACGUGUUCUUCUCAGAGAUAACAUCCGUAUAAAGAACGAAUUUUUCCAGGCAAGGGCAAUAAAUACCUCCUCAUCGCAAUCUCAUUCCCUUAGCUAUUAUGUCCAGUACCUUUGUUUCGGGUUGACUCUUUAGUAAGGUCAAUUAACCGUCGAUAGAUUUAAUUUGAUGCUAGAUUUUGUUGCAGUAAAAUCUAACGGUGCAUCCAUAUGAACGGAAAAAGCGAUAGAGAGAAGGUACGAAGAGAGCGAGAGCCGCAGCAUCAUGACGAAAGUAUGGAUUUGCGCCACAUCGAGGACAGGUCGCCGAUUUGCGGCGAUCCGCAUCGAUGAACGUUUGCAAGAAUAUGCGAGAAUUCGCUGCUACUUUCCUUCCUCGUUCCAAAGAGUUAUACGAUGAUUACAUGAAUGAUCUCGGAACCAAUCGCCGUUUCUGGAUCAACGAGUUUGCAAGGGAAUUUUCUUCGCCCUCUUCGUAAAAGAUUUAUUGCACUUUCUUCGCGAUCACUCGAAGAUUAUACAAAUAAGUAUUAAUUAUAAAAUAAAUGCUGUCUUAUAUAUUAAAAUAUUAAUUGAUCUCUAAAUUUCAUCUAAUUAUGAAGGAUAAGAAUUUAUUAGAAUACAAUCAGGUAAAAAUAUUUGAGAAAGAUAUAUUCACAGAUCAUAUAUAAAACUGAAAUUAUUACCGUAUGAUUUACGCUAAUAUUUACACUCUUCGAUAAAAGACACAGUUAAAGAUGUGAAAUACAUUCGUUUCGUUCUGAUAAGUCCGUCACAUCUUCGAUAUUAAACCGGAAGAUAUUACACAUCUAAUAUUAUCCGUUCCAUUUCACCUAGAAGACGUGUCUACGUUGAUAAAUGAGAGUUAUAAGUACGAUCGUAUAUCAGCAUUCGGAAAUUUUAUAUGAUAUCGCUGACGUCGUGUCUAUUUUCUUAUUAUGAGCUCGUGAAAGGAUUUAGAACGGAAAAGAUUUAUCCUCUUCCGCUUAUUCUUGAAAGCUUGUAUUCGUAUCGAUCUCUUUUUACAAAUAAUACAAAUCUCGCAAAUGUAACGUUACCAUGCAAAUCGUACAUGUAAAUUUGUAAAAUAAAAUUAAUUAAUUUCUUAUUAA
This is a long non-coding RNA of Ooceraea biroi (clonal raider ant), 18238 nucleotides long. RefSeq lists it as uncharacterized. NCBI's taxonomy places the organism in Eukaryota, Metazoa, Arthropoda, Insecta, Hymenoptera, Formicidae. The record is from RefSeq and is a predicted model, not a curated record.